UCUGUGGGUUUCAGAGAGACUGGUGUCCCUUUUCUACAAAGCUCCUUCAAUUCCUGUAGAAUGUGGUGGUCGAGAGUGUGGACUCUGACCUUGGGCACAAAUCCUGGCUCUGCUGCUCCUGGCCCAUGACCUUGGGCAACUGACCUCUCUAUGAGCCUGUUUCCUCGUUUGGCAGAUGGACACGGUGCCUUAUAUGCAAAAGACUGCAAGCUUUCCAUUUACACAGACCACGACUUCUCAGACAGUCAUACACGCUGAUUGCUGGGGAAUUUGUUAAAUGCUGGCUCUGACGCAGUACGUCUGGGGCAGUGCCUGGGGUUCUGCAUUUCAGACAAGCUCCUGGGGACACCGAGGCUCCAAGUUUGGGGACCGCAUCUUGAGUAGUCGAGGCUUAGCCUAGAUCAGUGGUUGGCAAACUUUAGCCCGUGGGCCUGCCAUCUUCUUUUGUACAUCAAGUUCUAUUGGAACAUGGCCACACGCUUAUUUACAUAUUGUCUAUGACGUUUUUCAUGCUACAGUGAGAGAGUUGGGCAGUUGUGACAGAGGCUAUGUGGCAUGCAAAGCUGAACAUAUUUACUAUCUGGCCCUUUACAGCAUGAGUUUGCCAACCCCUGAAGUGAUGUUGAAAGAAUGAAACGAGAAGAUGGAUUUGAGGCCACUUGGCCCAGAAAAAGGGCUGGGUUCACAGCACUGGUCAUGGAGCUGGCUCAGUAGGCAUCUAUGUCUUCCUUACCCAGGAAGGUCCCUCAGCUAAAACUGAGCACGGGAGAUGGAGGACAGGCUAGGGAAGAAGUCACAGAAAUAAAAAGGUGCAAGAGAAAGUCACUCUGGAAAUCCCUCCCCUUCCUGGGCCUCGCUUCACCCUCCCUGCCUCAGCUUCUGCUGGAUGCGCCUGGUGAAAUUGGGGGCUCUGGGUUCCCCAAGGAGUUGGCACAGCCCCUAAGGCUUCUUGCAGCCUCCCGCAGCCUCCCUGGCAACCCCUCAACCUCUGACAACGAGGCCCAGCAGUCGCCCUUGCCAUCCCUGCUCACGGAAGCUCAUCAGAGGAGCACCACCGGGGUGCAUCCAAUUCCGCCGGCUCCUCAUCGAAAUGAGAAAUCUGUGGUCCGGGCAGCCAUGGAGCGCUGAUAACACUUGUGCAGAUCCAGGAUCCUGAACUUCAAAGUAUCAUCUGGAUUGAACAGCCAGUACAAGACCCUCGGUCCUACAAUCUGCGAGAAAUCAAAUUCUGCCAGCAAGCAAUUCACAGACGUGGAAACUGAGAAUCAGAGAGGAAUGAACUUUGCCUAAGGUCACCCAAAGAAUUCAUGGCAAGGCUGGGAUUCCCAAGCCUGGAGCUCCUGAGCUAUUUCCCCUGCUUUGGCACCAUCUGAAACAUCUGUGAAAUGGGCACAAUCAAAAGUGGCUAUCUGUGAAUAAAGUCAUUGUCCCAUCCAA
Non-coding RNA from Macaca mulatta (Rhesus monkey), 1437 nucleotides. Lineage: Eukaryota; Metazoa; Chordata; Mammalia; Primates; Cercopithecidae. The record is from RefSeq and is a predicted model, not a curated record.